AAACGUAGGUCACAAGCGUUGUCCGGAAUUACUGGGUGUAAAGGGAGCGCAGGCGGGAAGACAAGUUGGAAGUGAAAUCCAUGGGCUCAACCCAUGAACUGCUCUCAAAACUGUUUUUCUUGAGUAGUGCAGAGGUAGGCGGAAUUCCCGGUGUAGCGGUGGAAUGCGUAGAUAUCGGGAGGAACACCAGUGGCGAAGGCGGCCUACUGGGCACCAACUGACGCUGAGGCUCGAAAGUGUGGGUAGCAAACAGGAUUAGAUACCCUGGUAGUCCACACUGUAAACGAUGAUUACUAGGUGUUGGAGGAUUGACCCCUUCAGUGCUGCAGUUAACACAAUAAGUAAUCCACCUGGGGAGUACGACCGCAAGGUUGAAAACUCAAAGGAAUUGACGGGGGCCCGCACAAGCAGUGGAGUAUGUGGUUUAAUUCGACGCAACGCGAAGAACCUUACCAAGUCUUGACAUCCUGCGACGCACAUAGAAAUAUGUGUUUCCUUCGGGACGCAGAGACAGGUGGUGCAUGGUUGUCGUCAGCUCGUGUCGUGAGAUGUUGGGUUAAGUCCCGCAACGAGCGCAACCCUUAUGGUCAGUUACUACGCAAGAGGACUCUGGCCAGACUGCCGUUGACAAAACGGAGGAAGGUGGGGAUGACGUCAAAUCAUCAUGCCCUUUAUGACUUGGGCUACACACGUACUACAGUGGCGUUAAACAAAGAGAAGCAAGACCGCGAGGUGGAGCAAAACUCAGAAACAACGUCCCAGUUCGGACUGCAGGCUGCAACUUGCCUGCACGAAGUCGGAAUUGCUAGUAAUCGCAGAUCAGCAUGCUGCGGUGAAUACGUUCCCGGGCCUUGUACACACCGCCCGUCACACCAUGAGAGCCGGGGGGACCCGAAGUCGGUAGUCUAACCGCAAGGAGGACGCCGCCGAAGGUAAAACUGGUGAUUGGGGUG
RNAcentral lists this ribosomal RNA (953 nucleotides) under uncultured bacterium. RNAcentral's name for it is "bacterial SSU rRNA". It matches the Rfam family "Bacterial small subunit ribosomal RNA", at positions 523 to 1482 of the family's 1533-position model. The record is from RNAcentral.